UUUUUUUUUACAUGUCAACGGCUUUCAAACAAGGCCAGGAUAUCAGCGCUUUUCACGGAUUAUCACACGAGAUCUGUUGCACCUUAAAUCAGCUGCUGUCUAGCAAGAGUUUAUAAAGCAGGUUACACAUACUUUUAUGUGGCAGUUAACGAACUAAAAAGCCUAGUUUUAUUUGGUAACAACUGAAGAGAGCCAAUAUGAUGUCUGUGCCACUGAGGAAAACUUUGACACCAAUAGAGAAUUGCCAGUUUAGAAAACAACUUCAGAACCUUAUCUUAAGGAAUUUCAUCCCAGGUGGUAGUGCAAAUUACCCAC
Molecule: long non-coding RNA, 315 nt
Organism: Liolophura sinensis
Lineage: Eukaryota; Metazoa; Mollusca; Polyplacophora; Chitonida; Chitonidae
Exons: 3
Source: RefSeq, a predicted model, not a curated record